AUGAAAAUCAUAGCGCGGAACUGACGGGGGCUUGGGAAUGCCCCGGCAGUUUGAGCUUUGCUGGAUGUCCAGCAAAGAUAUCUCCCCGAUGUGAUGUUCUUGUCGGAGACUCACCUCGAUAGCUAUCCGGCUGAGGGUUUACGUAGAAGAUUGAAGAUGGACCAAAAUUUUGUUUGCACAAGUGAUGGAAGGAAAGGAGGGUUGAUCCUUCUCUGGAAUAAUAAUGUGAAAGUCCAUAAACUGGCUCUUGAUGCGAUGUUUAUUGAUGUAAGGAUAGAGGGAAGCAACAACGUGUCCUGGCGCCUGACAGGAAUGUAUGGAGAGUUUAAGUGGGCAAAUAAACACUUAACAUGGAGCCGAAUGAGAUAG
RNAcentral lists this ribosomal RNA (369 nucleotides) under Triticum aestivum (bread wheat). Its description in RNAcentral is "partial small subunit ribosomal RNA". The record is from RNAcentral. Lineage: Eukaryota; Viridiplantae; Streptophyta; Magnoliopsida; Poales; Poaceae.